Long non-coding RNA from Lolium rigidum, 681 nucleotides. RefSeq lists it as uncharacterized. NCBI's taxonomy places the organism in Eukaryota, Viridiplantae, Streptophyta, Magnoliopsida, Poales, Poaceae. The record is from RefSeq and is a predicted model, not a curated record. The transcript is spliced from 2 exons.
CACGGCUAGCUCUCAUCUUUGACUACCUCCUCGGCGUGGCGGCUGUGACAUUCAGCCUCUCCGAGGAACGACCAGCUGGUUGCAUGAGUGGGAUGCCAUGGGAGGCCUGGAUAGACGACCCUUAUACCAUAUUUGAAGAGAACCCAUCAAAGAGACGAGCACCCGUGUCAGUUAGAGUGGAUGACAUGUUUGAUCAGAUAAAAGAGAAGCUACCUGGAGUACUCAGGUUCCUUCUGUGCCUUUUUCCUCAGAAAGAAAAAUGCAAAGUUGGGUAUGUGUUGCAAAAUCUACUGCAGUGUUGUCCACCUUACACUGAAUCUUCAAUGUUACCAUAAGUGUGGAUGUAGUAAAUGCAUGUGAUAAACCAACCAAAAUGUUCACCAUUUAUCUUAUUUUAUGAAGGGGCUCGACUCUAGGAUCUUCUCUUGGUGGAAGAGCUGGUGCCCCAAGGGGCCAUAGCGGACCUCCCGGGGACGGAGGGCGUGGAUUCAGCGGACGGGGAAGAUACUAGGAUGCAGUUUUAGUUUGUUGUUUAUUUGACAUCAUGUUCUACAUGAUCUAUGCUCAGAAACUAGAGUGUUCUUGUAAACUUUAUUUUAAGUUUGCUUAGUGCACUCAACUGCGUAUGUGUGGGAAGUUGAAUUCUCUGUUGAACAAUCCUUUGUGUCUUUUUACAAGUCA